RNAcentral lists this ribosomal RNA (396 nucleotides) under uncultured soil bacterium. RNAcentral describes it as "bacterial SSU rRNA". It matches the Rfam family "Bacterial small subunit ribosomal RNA", at positions 12 to 393 of the family's 1533-position model. The record is from RNAcentral.
UUUGAUCCUGGCUCAGAGCGAACGUUAGCGGCGGGCCUAACACAUGCAAGUCGAGGGAGAAAGUGGCUUCGGCCAUGAGUAAACCGGCGGACGGGUGAGUAACACGUGGGUAAUGUACCUAUCGGCGGGGGAUAACAAUCCGAAAGGAUUGCUAAUACCGCAUACGCCAGUCGGAGCUCCGGCUCUGAUUGAGAAAGGUGGCCUCUCAGCGAAGCUACCACCGAUAGAUCAGCCCGCGUCCCAUCAGCUAGUUGGUGAGGUAAUGGCUCACCAAGGCUUAGACGGGUAGCUGGUCUGAGAGGAUGAUCAGCCACACUGGGACUGAGACACGGCCCAGACUCCUACGGGAGGCAGCAGUGGGGAAUAUUGGGCAAUGGGCGAAAGUCUGACGGAGCA